GAUGAAGAACGCAGCGAAAUGCGAUAAGUAGUGUGAAUUGCAGAAUUCCGUGAAUCAUCGAAUCUUUGAACGCACAUUGCGCCCCCUGGUAUUCCGGGGGGCAUGCCUGUCCGAGCGUCAUUGCAACCUUCAAGCGCGGCUUGUGUGUUGGGUCUCGUCCCCCGUGGACGGGCCCGAAAGGCAGUGGCGGCGUCCCGACAUGGUGCCCGAGCGUAUGGGAAUCCUCUUCCGCUCGAAUCGGCCCAUGCGGCGCUGGUCGUAACCAAAUUUUUUACCGGUUGACCUCGGAUCAGGUAGGGAUACCCGCUGAACUUAAGCAUAUCAAUAAGCGGAGGA
RNAcentral lists this unclassified non-coding RNA (336 nucleotides) under soil metagenome. RNAcentral's name for it is "partial contains 5.8S ribosomal RNA, internal transcribed spacer 2, and large subunit ribosomal RNA". The stretch from base 1 to 120 matches the Rfam family "5.8S ribosomal RNA", at positions 35 to 154 of the family's 154-position model. The record is from RNAcentral.